CGGGUAGCCGGCCUGAGAGGGCGACCAGCCACAUUGGGACUGAGAUACGGCCCAGACUCCUACGGGAGGCAGCAGUGGGGAAUAUUGCACAAUGGGCGCAAGCCUGAUGCAGCGACGCCGCGUGCGGGAUGGAGGCCUUCGGGUUGUAAACCGCUUUUGUUCAAGGGCAAGGCACGGUUUCGGCCGUGUUGAGUGGAUUGUUCGAAUAAGCACCGGCUAACUACGUGCCAGCAGCCGCGGUAGUACGUAGGGUGCAAGCGUUAUCCGGAUUUAUUGGGCGUAAAGGGCUCGUAGGCGGUUCGUCGCGUCCGGUGUGAAAGUCCAUCGCUUAACGGUGGAUCCGCGCCGGGUACGGGCGGGCUUGAGUGCGGUAGGGGAGACUGGAAUUCCCGGUGUAACGGUGGAAUGUGUAGAUAUCGGGAAGAACACC
RNAcentral lists this ribosomal RNA (430 nucleotides) under uncultured Bifidobacterium sp. RNAcentral describes it as "bacterial SSU rRNA". It matches the Rfam family "Bacterial small subunit ribosomal RNA", at positions 280 to 710 of the family's 1533-position model. Lineage: Bacteria; Bacillati; Actinomycetota; Actinomycetes; Bifidobacteriales; Bifidobacteriaceae. The record is from RNAcentral.